UGAAUUACGUAUUCAUUUAUACGUAUACUUAAUUUCAAAGCUCAAAGUUGGAAAUUAUUUUUUACAUUAGAUUCACUCGAACCUUCUUAAGCUACUAUUGAUAAAUAGUUAUAUCAUCUUUAUUUUAAUAAAUAUAUUUCUGUUAUCCUGUUAAACAAAAAAUUAUUCGACUGAAAGGUUGUUACGAACAAUGUCUCAGAUGGCAUCGCUGGUAGAGUCCUUGGUGCGUAACCAAAAGAUCCGGGUUCGAUUCCCGACUGGGGCUGUCCGAAUUAUUUUUUCUAUCGGUUAUAAACAACGACAAUUCCGGUGCAGCUGGAAGGCUGCAAGCCCUUGGAUUUGUUAUUUAGUAAAUAUCGUUUUUAUUAUAUUGUUGAUUUAUUUGUGCGUAAUCUUAACCAUAAACUAUGAAAGAUUUUGAAUUAGUCUUAAUAAAACCUGCAAUGAUAAUUUA
This is a long non-coding RNA of Cotesia glomerata, 454 nucleotides long. RefSeq lists it as uncharacterized. The transcript has 2 exons. The record is from RefSeq and is a predicted model, not a curated record. NCBI's taxonomy places the organism in Eukaryota, Metazoa, Arthropoda, Insecta, Hymenoptera, Braconidae.